AGCAGUCUGCAGGCCUGGGCAGGCGGCUCUGUAAAGGAUGCGGGUGCUUUGUGGUGGUGAGAGAGAGGGUAUGCAGCAGACGUGGCCAUAAAUCACCCUCCUCACGGCAGCCCCACACCCACGGACCAGGGCACGGGCACAGGGCCAUCUCCUUCCAGGAGAAGGGCUGGUGUGGGUGGCCAGAUCUGACAGCCCCCAGGCCGUAGGACAGAGCCAGAAGACAGAGCAGUUCCCCCGUUUACCCAUAGCACCAGCCUCACAGUAACAGCCGGCACACAGCACUUAGGCUGCCUGGUGUUCCAGAAGCUUCUGCAGGGGCUCUAUGCUGCACUCAAGGCAUCCCUAAGAGGAGAGCAUUUUGCUGUCCCCACUUUACGGAGAAGGAACGUGGGCUCAGGGUGGUUUAAGGCGUGAAUGAAUGAAGGAGCAAGCAGUAAGCCCCGACAGCAAGGCCACCACAGCCCUCGCCCCACAGGGACGCCUGAGCAAGGACCCAAGCAGGGGACAAGCAGGCUCACCCCGCCCUUGCGGGGCUGACCACGAGGCCCCGUCCGGUGGAACACGCCAUGACGCUUCAGGAGGCUCAUGUAGCUGGCGCCGUAUGGGACAGCGGGGGAGAGAGAAAAUGCACAGCCCAGGGAAUGUGGAGACAGGCCCAGCGCCAGGCAUGGGGGCCGGAAGGAGCAGCCGGGGAGCAGGGGGCAGGGCCUGGAGUCCCGCCUUGCAGGUCAGAGAUCUGAACCUGCCCCAGCCCCAGGACUCUGAGUGCAGCAAGAGGGGAGCCGGGCUGGAGAGUGGGGAGCACGGAGACUGUGGCCUGGAUGGUGCCAGAGCAAACAGGAGAGAGGCUGCCCAACGCAGAGGCUGCAGCACAGACCAGAGGGUCCCGGGGCUGACUGGGUGGGGGCAGCUCCCAGCGAGAGGCCCCUGGGAUUUGGGUAAGUAGAGGCACAUGCAGACUCUGGCCACAGGGCACCUCGCGCACGAGGGGAGUUCACCACACAAGCUGAGCGGAGGGCGGACGCAGGAGAGCAGCGGUUUCUCGGAAGCCAAGGGCGGUCAUGGAGCCCCACGCCACAGCGCUUCCCACGGGGCCACACCAUCCGGUCUGCGGAGGGGGCUGCAUUGCCGGGAAGGACCAUCUGAUUCUGGAUUCCAGCCUCACCCUGGGCCACCGCUGAGUGUCCCAAGUGGCCCCUUAGCCCCCAGGGCCAGGCGGCAUCCCAAUCCCCUAGGGAUGUCUGUGCUCAGAAUGUGGCACACACGCCCCGGCAGGGCCAUCCUCCUCCUCCUGCACCCGCCACAGCCGUGGAUUCGGGGUCUCUAUCGUGGGCAGAAAUUCACACAGUCAAGGUGAGGGUCCCAGGAGCAGCUGUGACCAGGCCCCGGCUGCCAGGGAGAGGGGGUCUUCAGCCGACGGGGCAGACACCCUGAGAUGGACCCUUGUCCAGGGGAGGGCCCUGCCACCCACAAUUCCUUGGCAUUCCUGCACCAGCAGGACGGGCUGAGGGAGGCGCCUCACCAGUGCCAGCGCCCAGCAUCACUGUGCCCCGGUGGAGGGGGAGGCCCUUCCGAGCCUGGGCCUGGGUGUGGAUGAGGGCAGGUCUCUCACCUCUCUGACCUCAGCUUCCUCAACUGGGAAGGGGGGCCACAGCACCCCCUUAGGGGUGAUGAGGAAGUGGGAGCUCAGGGAGGACCCCGGGCAGGGCUGCCUCCUCACCUCUCUUCGGCCUUUGGACACUGGAGCUCAGAGGACCAAGUGAAUGAAUGAAUGACUCGAUCAAUCAACUGAUCCAUGAAUCCAUGGACCCCUGAACAGCUGGACAGCUGGGCUGUGGGCAGGACAGGGGACUCUGGCUGAAGCCGCGUUCAUAUGUGUUCAGCUUUAGGCCUCCACUGUGCCCGGACCAGCGGCCCACUCAGUGAGUCGAGUGUGCACCUGGCACCCCUCUUUCUGGAAAUCCACGAACAAUGGGCUCCCAGCAGAGGACUGAGGCUGAGCAGGCCACUUCCCUGGAGCUGACCCCACAGCUGUGUAGGUACAGGGUGGCCGUGAACACUUAGGGCUCUCUCGGGCUGUGCGCUUCUUGUUCACUGCAAGGAGCAGGGUGUUGGCUCCUGACCAAGCCCUGUCACUGCUGCCCAGCCACACGUGGGGCCCCUUCACCCACCCCUGACCACCUCAUGCAGGUGAAGCCACUGUGGAAACAGCCUGGCAGUCCCUUGAAAAAUGAAGUCAUAAACCCCAGCAAUUGCACUCCUGGGCCUCUGACAGAGCUUGCACGUCCCCUCCAAAGCUCGUGUUAAGCUGUGAGCCCCAGUGCCGGAGGUGGGGCCUGGUGUGUUUGGGUUCUGGGGGUGGAUCCCUCAUGGCUGGGUGCCAUGAACCCACUCACCACAGUGAGUUCUCACGAGAUCUGGUUGUUGAGAAGUGUGUCAUACCUCCCCCACAACUCUCUGUCUUUUGUUCCGGCUCUGGCAAUGUAACAAGCCUGCUCCUCCUUCGCCUUCUGCCAUGACUGUAAGCUUUCUGAGGGCUGACCAGAAGCCCAGCAGAUGCCAGCACCAUGCUUCCUAUACAGCCUGCAGAACCGUGAGCCAGCUAAACCUCUCCUCAUAAAUCACCGAGCCCCAGGUUUAUCUUUACAGCAAUGCAAGACCUGACUAAUACAGCACCAGCUCCCCAAAAUAAAAAGAAAUAUUCAAACAAAUAAGCGCACAGAAGUGUUCCCAGCAGCACUAUUCACAGCAGCCAAAAGGCGGAGGAGCCACAGGCUUGUCAGCUGAUGACAGAUAAAGAAAGCAUGGCCUGUCAUCCCAGCACUUUGGGAGGCCGAGGUGGGUGGAUCACCUGAGGUUGGGAGUUCAAGACCAGCCUGGCCAACAUGGUGAAACCCAGUCUCUACUAAAAAUAUAAAAAUUAGCUGGGUGUGAUGAUGAGC
This 2942-nucleotide long non-coding RNA is filed under the name Homo sapiens (human). RNAcentral's name for it is "non-protein coding MIR1-1HG-AS1:51". Lineage: Eukaryota; Metazoa; Chordata; Mammalia; Primates; Hominidae. The record is from RNAcentral.